RNAcentral lists this long non-coding RNA (212 nucleotides) under Nicotiana benthamiana. RNAcentral describes it as "long non-coding RNA (NBEN_LNC000384)". Lineage: Eukaryota; Viridiplantae; Streptophyta; Magnoliopsida; Solanales; Solanaceae. The record is from RNAcentral.
AAGUGUCUCAUUGCAGUGGCUGUUAAAAAUCACUGGCCAUUGUUCCAACUGGAUGUUAACAAAAGAAAUGACCAAUUAUUAGGCUCUGAAUUAGUGUAUCAUCAUAGCCUAUAUCUCAACACCCCCCCUCAAGUUGAAGGGGGGGGGGGAACCACCUUUAACUUGGACAAAAUAGGAGAAAGAGCAGUCCCGGAUAAUGCUUUCGUCAACGG